This 515-nucleotide ribosomal RNA is filed under the name uncultured bacterium. RNAcentral describes it as "partial 16S ribosomal RNA". It matches the Rfam family "Bacterial small subunit ribosomal RNA", at positions 28 to 523 of the family's 1533-position model. The record is from RNAcentral.
GAUGAACGCUGGCGGCGUGCCUAAUACAUGCAAGUCGAGCGAAUGGAUUAAGAGCUUGCUCUUAUGAAGUUAGCGGCGGACGGGUGAGUAACACGUGGGUAACCUGCCCAUAAGACUAGGAUAACUCCGGGAAACCGGGGCUAAUACCGGAUAACAUUCUGAACCGCAUGGUUCGAAAUUGAAAGGCGGCUUCGGCUGUCACUUAUGGAUGGACCCGCGUCGCAUUAGCUAGUUGGUGAGGUAACGGCUCACCAAGGCAACGAUGCGUAGCCGACCUGAGAGGGUGAUCGGCCACACUGGGACUGAGACACGGCCCAGACUCCUACGGGAGGCAGCAGUAGGGAAUCUUCCGCAAUGGACGAAAGUCUGACGGAGCAACGCCGCGUGAGUGAUGAAGGCUUUCGGGUCGUAAAACUCUGUUGUUAGGGAAGAACAAGUGCUAGUUGAAUAAGCUGGCACCUUGACGGUACCUAACCAGAAAGCCACGGCUAACUACGUGCCAGCAGCCGCAGUAA